UGAGGAGGACUCUGACCGACGUCAGGCUUAGCUGUCUAUACUGUGAGUGGACAUUUUAUUUUUAAAGGAGUAUGCAUGCAUGAUUUGUUUAGAAAAUCAUCACUAAUUUUCUGAGUUGAUUUUAUUAUUUCUUCUAUGAAGGGAUCUUGAAAAUGAUUUGAGUUAUUCUAUUUUAAGCAUGUUAACGUGUGAGACACGUUGAAUUUAAUUAACUAUAUUGCUCUUAGAAUUUUUCCAAGUACGGUUGGGAAUCGUACUUAUAUUUUAUUUAUGAGUUUUGGGGAAACUCAUAUGAUUUAUAUUUUCCUUAUGCCAUAUUCUUGGAAUAUAUAUGAUGUCAAUGCUAGCAUGUCGUUCCACCUUUCGAGGUGAUGUGACACCCACGUUUCAAGUGGGGUCACGCAAGCCCUUUCCACCCUAGUGGUGAUGUGAUGUUGCCGGCGGCAUCACGCAAGCCCUGUGCCCUAUCCGUCAACUCGACGUGAAGGUACAGGGAGUAUGGGAGUACUAUGCCUGGGAGGCAACCGAGUCUGGGAGACUCACUUAUAUGGCCAUAUAGGAUAUUCUAUUUGAGUUGUUAAAUUGACUAGCAGGGCUAGUCCAUUAUUUUUGGAAGUUUUUUUUUAUACGAGAAAUCUAUUUAUUUUUCUUAUUGUUUUACGACUAGCGGGGCUAGUGGGAAUUUUGGUUGAGCUUAUAAUAUCUGCAUGCAAGAAAAUUCUUGGUUUCCGUAUAAAUGGAAAAGCAUAUAAAAGUUUGAUUUAGUAUCAUUAUGCUCUUGGAUAUUUAUUUAAUUAGUUUGUUUUUCGUCCACUCACGCUAACGUUUUUAAAUGCUUUUCCCUGGGCCCUUUGUUUUCAAAUGCCCAGAUUACAGAGCUCCUGUUCGGUUUCACUAGGAGUUGAGGUAUAGUUUUCCCGCUGCACCUUGCUGACCGUAGGUUACCUGUUAACCUAUGUGUAGUGUUAUAUUUCCUUCUUGUAGAGCUCUG
RNAcentral lists this long non-coding RNA (991 nucleotides) under Fragaria vesca (wild strawberry). RNAcentral describes it as "long non-coding RNA (FVES_LNC004542)". Lineage: Eukaryota; Viridiplantae; Streptophyta; Magnoliopsida; Rosales; Rosaceae. The record is from RNAcentral.